Molecule: ribosomal RNA, 457 nt
Filed under: uncultured bacterium
Lineage: Bacteria
Description: bacterial SSU rRNA
Rfam family: Bacterial small subunit ribosomal RNA
Source: RNAcentral
CCUACGGGUGGCAGCAGUGGGGAAUAUUGCGCAAUGGCCGCAAGGCUGACGCAGCGACGCCGCGUGGGGGAUGACGCAUUUCGGUGUGUAAACCCCUGUUGCUCGGGACGAAUCGCCUCUUUUGAGGGGCUUGACGGUACCGGGUGAGGAAGCACCGGCUAACUCCGUGCCAGCAGCCGCGGUAAUACGGAGGGUGCGAGCGUUGUCCGGAAUCACUGGGCGUAAAGGGCGCGUAGGCGGUCUGCUAAGCGUGCGGUGAAAGCCCGGGGCUCAACCCCGGGUCGGCCGUGCGAACUGGUGGACUGGAGCACUGUAGAGGCAGGUGGAAUUCCGGGUGUAGCGGUGGAAUGCGUAGAGAUCCGGAAGAACACCGGUGGCGAAGGCGGCCUGCUGGGCAGUAGCUGACGCUGAGGCGCGACAGCGUGGGGAGCAAACAGGAUUAGAUACCCUAGUAGUC